GAUGAACGCUGGCGGCGUGCCUAAUACAUGCAAGUCGAACGAGUUCUGAUUAUUGAAAGGUGCUUGCAUCUUGAUUUAAUUUUGAACGAGUGGCGGACGGGUGAGUAACACGUGGGUAACCUGCCCUUAAGUGGGGGAUAACAUUUGGAAACAGAUGCUAAUACCGCAUAAAUCCAAGAACCGCAUGGUUCUUGGCUGAAAGAUGGCGUAAGCUAUCGCUUUUGGAUGGACCCGCGGCGUAUUAGCUAGUUGGUGAGGUAACGGCUCACCAAGGCAAUGAUACGUAGCCGAACUGAGAGGUUGAUCGGCCACAUUGGGACUGAGACACGGCCCAAACUCCUACGGGAGGCAGCAGUAGGGAAUCUUCCACAAUGGACGCAAGUCUGAUGGAGCAACGCCGCGUGAGUGAAGAAGGCUUUCGGGUCGUAAAACUCUGUUGUUGGAGAAGAAUGGUCGGCAGAGUAACUGUUGUCGGCGUGACGGUAUCCAACCAGAAAGCCACGGCUAACUACGUGC
This 516-nucleotide ribosomal RNA is filed under the name Lactobacillus sp. M23. RNAcentral describes it as "bacterial SSU rRNA". It matches the Rfam family "Bacterial small subunit ribosomal RNA", at positions 28 to 508 of the family's 1533-position model. The record is from RNAcentral. Lineage: Bacteria; Bacillati; Bacillota; Bacilli; Lactobacillales; Lactobacillaceae.